RNAcentral lists this ribosomal RNA (429 nucleotides) under Gemmatimonadota bacterium. RNAcentral's name for it is "Gemmatimonadetes bacterium partial 16S ribosomal RNA". It matches the Rfam family "Bacterial small subunit ribosomal RNA", at positions 355 to 776 of the family's 1533-position model. The record is from RNAcentral. Lineage: Bacteria; Pseudomonadati; Gemmatimonadota.
UAGGGAAUCUUCGGCAAUGGACGAAAGUCUGACCGAGCAACGCCGCGUGAGUGAAGAAGGUUUUCGGAUCGUAAAACUCUGUUGUUAGAGAAGAACAAGGACGUUAGUAACUGAACGUCCCCUGACGGUAUCUAACCAGAAAGCCACGGCUAACUACGUGCCAGCAGCCGCGGUAAUACGUAGGUGGCAAGCGUUGUCCGGAUUUAUUGGGCGUAAAGCGAGCGCAGGCGGUUUCUUAAGUCUGAUGUGAAAGCCCCCGGCUCAACCGGGGAGGGGCAUUGGAAACUGGGAGACUUGAGUGCAGAAGGGGAGAGUGGAAUUCCAUGUGUAGCGGUGAAAUGCGUAGAUAUAUGGAGGAACACCAGUGGCGAAGGCGGCUCUCUGGUCUGUAACUGACGCUGAGGCUCGAAAGCGUGGGGAGCAAACAGG